GUUAGGCAACCAAGUUGAGAAUCUCUGGCAUCUCCAGCUGGAGCCCGGCUUACCCCUGAGGACUGUGAAAUCAACAGAAUUGAAAUAUAGUUUGCUGAUGAUAUUUUGAGAAGUUCAACAACCUGGAUGUCCUACCAAGAUCCUGUUGAUAGUUCUGUGGCUCCUGAAGCCCAGGACCCUUAAUUCAGAAACAGGGAAAACAACUGAGGCCUUCGGUGAUGGGGAGGAAGCCUCUAAUUCCCUAGUUUCACGUUUGAUGAGGUGCCUUCCCACUGAUGAGCACAGCUGGCUGCAUGAUAUUUUACAGCCAACUACAGACAUUCUUGAAGGAAAACGUGGCCUCCUGUAUGAACUCAUGCCAUUUAUUUGUGUGGUGGAAAGAUGACCCUGCAUACAAUUUAUCCAAUGGUUUGUAUUUUGAAGGAACUAAAUAAAGUGCCAAGGGAAUCAUUUUUGUUAUUCCUUCCAAGAGCACAUUCAAAGUCAAUUAAUGAAGGAAUAUCAUGAUCCUCACUUUAUACAUAUUAGAUGAGUGCCUAUUAUAUGUGCCAAAUAGUACUGGAUCUGUGGAACACACGAAAGGUUUGUAAGACUUGAUUCCUUCUCUCCUCAUUCAGAGAGUGGGGAGAGAAUGAAAUGUCCUGUGCAAGCAAGGGGGCUCCCCCUGAGAUCUGGGGUCCAGUGGAGCCACAGUUAAGGUCUUCUACUCAGGACAGAUCAUAAAAACAACAAGACUAAUAGAACAGCCAUAUUUAUUGAGCACUUAACAUAUUCUCAGCACUAAGCCAAUCAAUUCACAUGUGUUUCUCAUUUAAUAUUUAAAACCAUUCUUUCAUGAAACAUAGUCUACAUGAAGAAGCUUUACUCAGAUCAACUGUAUAUAGUGCCAAAGAUUGUAUAGUAAAUAACAUGCCUAGAAUGUAAAUUUAGAUCUGUUUGAGUUGAGCCUGGGCUUUUACCCACCCUGCUGAAUUUUCUGUGAUUGUAUCAGUGAAAUUGAUUUAACCUCAGCUGAAAUCCUGAGUGUUUGCCAAGAAUCAAAUGCUAAAAUGAAACAUAAACACCAACCUAAAGAAGCAAAGCCAAG
Bos indicus x Bos taurus (hybrid cattle) is the source of this 1087-nucleotide long non-coding RNA. NCBI's taxonomy places the organism in Eukaryota, Metazoa, Chordata, Mammalia, Artiodactyla, Bovidae. The record is from Ensembl.